GUGAAGUUCUGGGUUGUUUCCUCAAGACCAUGUCAGAUCUGAGGCCCAGAAAACCUUCUGCAUUGUCUCUGUCUUUCARCCUGAGCUGGAGAUAAAACAGCCUGUGUGACGCCAGCUCUGGAGUGAAUUUUGAUGGUUGAGUUGAAAACAGUGCUUGGAUGAAAAGGAGUCUAUAAUGGAAACCAUGCAGGAACUUUAACACCAGCAGCAGCGCCAGCAGAGAGCUCGCAGUAAUCAUGUGCCACAACCCGUGGAGUAUUUAGAAUACACCUUUGCUGCUCAAGGUAAGGUCAGAGAUGAGCAGAUU
Long non-coding RNA from Malurus melanocephalus (red-backed fairy wren), 307 nucleotides. RefSeq lists it as uncharacterized. The transcript is spliced from 3 exons. The record is from RefSeq and is a predicted model, not a curated record. NCBI's taxonomy places the organism in Eukaryota, Metazoa, Chordata, Aves, Passeriformes, Maluridae.